Molecule: ribosomal RNA, 254 nt
Filed under: uncultured bacterium
Lineage: Bacteria
Description: partial 16S ribosomal RNA
Rfam family: Bacterial small subunit ribosomal RNA
Source: RNAcentral
UACGUAGGGUGCUAGCGUUGUCCGGAUUUAUUGGGCGUAAAGGGCGCGUAGGCGGCUACGCACGUCCGUUGUGAAAUCGCUCGGCUCAACUGGGCGGGGUCAGCGGAUACGGCGUAGCUGGAGCAAGCUAGGGGGCAAUGGAAUUCCCGGUGUAGUGGUGGAAUGCGUAGAUAUCGGGAGGAACACCAGUGGCGAAGGCGGUUGCCUGGAGCUUUGCUGACGCUGAUGCGCGAAAGCGUGGGGAGCGAGUCCGG